Xiphophorus hellerii (green swordtail) is the source of this 4142-nucleotide RNA transcript. It is a transcript of the gene named gastrula zinc finger protein XlCGF7.1-like, with no coding region annotated. NCBI's taxonomy places the organism in Eukaryota, Metazoa, Chordata, Actinopteri, Cyprinodontiformes, Poeciliidae. The transcript has 5 exons. The record is from RefSeq and is a predicted model, not a curated record.
GUGAAACACACGGAAAAUAAAGACGGAGCACAGAUAGCAGCGUUAGCUUUUCCUUUGUUAGAAAGUGGUUUGAAGACGGAUUUGGCGUUUUAGAGUUUAAAGAAAUCAUCGCCAGGUCCGAGGAAGAGAUGGAUGAUCAGCACAGACUGCUGGUUUUCACCCGGACACCCCAGAUAAUCUUAUACCAAAUAGAUCUCUCACGAUGCCUUGUAGUUAAAGAAGAGGAGGAGGUUCCCGUUCAGCUCAAUAACCAGGAUGAGAAUUCCACUUUAGAUCAAGAGGAACCAGAACCUCUGGGGAUAAAACAGGAGGAAGAGGAACCGGAACAUCAACAAUUCAAAGAGAAUCAACUCUGCGUCAGUCAGGAUGAAGAGCAGCUUGUGCAAAAACAGGACACUGAUUCUCCCCUAGUUGAGAAUCGGGAUCAAGAAGAAAUUGAUUCUGAAAAUCAAGGAAAAACUAGAGAUGAUCAGAAACAACAUGAGAUAUGUCAGACGACCAAACAGCAGAAAGGGACUCUCCCAGGCCACAGUUUGUAUUCCUGUGAAGUUUGUGAUAAAAUAUUUUCUGGACAAAAGGGUUUCACAAUACAUAUGAGAAAUCACAUGCGUGAGAAGACGCAUGGAUGUACAACCUGUGGAAAACGUUACUAUAGCAGAAGUGGUUUAAAUCUGCACAUGAGAGCCCACACAGGGGAAAAACCAUUCACAUGUGCAACCUGUGGAAAAAGCUAUGGUAGCAGGGUUUCUUUAAAUUUUCAUAUGAGAACUCACACAGGGGAAAGGCGGUUCAAAUGUGUUGUUUGUGGAAAAGAUUUCCGUCAAAGUUCAGCUUUACAUACUCACAUGAGAACUCACUCAGAUCAGAAGCCUUAUUCAUGCACAACCUGUGGGAAAAGGUUUUCUAAUAAAAGCGUGUUAAAUUCUCACAUUAUAAUUCAUACAGGUGAGAAACGUUACUCGUGUAUUGCUUGCGGAAAACGUUUUAGUCAGAAAAGUCAGUUACGGUAUCACAUGAUGACUCACACAGGUGAGAAACCCGUUUCAUGCAUGACUUGUGGAAAAACGUUCACUCAUAAAGGUAAUUUAUCUGAGCACAUCAAAACUCACACAGGUGAGAAGCCUUUUUCAUGUUCUACUUGUGGGAAAUGUUUCAGUCACAAAAGCCUUUUAAGAAAUCACAUGAGAAGGCACACAGGUGAGAGGCCUUUUUCAUGUACCACCUGUGGAAAGACUUACAGUGAGAGAAGUGGUUUAGCUUAUCAUGUCAAAACUCACACAGCUGAGAGACCCUUCUCCUGUGUGACUUGUAAGGCAAGUUUCCGAAAACAAUCCUUUUUAACAAAUCACAUGAAAAUUCACACAGUUGAGAAGACUUUCUCAUGUGUGACCUGUGGAAAAACUUUCACUCAGAAAUGUGAAUUGACUAUUCACAAGAAAACUCAUAGGGAUGAGGGGCCUUUCUUAUGUGCGAUAUGUGGUAAAAGUUUCCGUGGCAAAAGUAGUUUAAAUUACCACAUGAAAAAUCACGCAGAGGAAAAGCCUUUCUCAUGUGUGACCUGCGGAAAAGGGUUUCUUAGGAAGUCUCAUUUAAUAUGUCACAUGAGGAGUCACACAGGGGAGAAGCCUUUCUCAUGCAUGACCUGUGGAAAAAGUUUCUCUGUGAAAUGUAACUUAACUUUUCACAUGAAGACUCAUACAAAUGAGAAGCCUUUCUCAUGUGCAACCUGUGGUAAAGGUUACCAUAAUAAAAGUAGUUUCAAUUACCACAUGAGAAAUCACACAGAGGAAAAGCCAUUCCCGUGUGUGACCUGUGGAAAAGGAUUUGUUCAUAAUUCUCAUUUAAUUUUGCACAUGAGAAGUCACACAGGGGAGAAGCCUUUCACAUGCACAAUAUGUGAGAAAAGCUAUGCCAUAAAAAGCAGGUUAACUGUUCACAUGAAGACUCAUACAGGUUAGGAGCCAUUUUUCUGCUUGUUCUGUUAAGAAGCUUUCCAGCAGAAAUGUCCUUUACUACGUCACCCAAAUGUGAGACAAAGUGAUGAAAACUAGAAAUAUCAAAUUAGUAAAUUUUUGUUUAGAGAGGGGAAUGAUUUCAUGAAGACUCGUAGAGAUGAGAAGCCUGUAUGAAUUACAAACAAUGUAUUCAAAUAAUAAGUUUAGCUGAAAUACUUUAUGAAAUUCAUCAUUUUUGGGAGUUUUACUUUAACAUUUAAAGUUAUUUUUUUCAGUGAGAUUGUCAGUGUCUUCAUAAAAUUGUUUUGAAUGCAUUUUUUUUUAAAGAACAAUGCAUUUCAAUGCUUUUACUUUCAGACUGCAGUGAAUUUUUUAAACUUGGACUUUUGUUAUAGCUGCAUAUGUGAAAUAGAAUCACUCAUAGCUAUGUGCAUAUGAGAAUACACAGAUACAAAUGAGUAAAGGCAAAAAGGUUUGUUGUUCCUUUGCUGUACUUUAAAUAUUUUGUGAUUUUUGUUAGCGGAUACAUGUUCAAAUGCACAGAGUAGUAGGCUACACAUGAUUUCCCUUUAUUUGGAUUAAUAUUUUCUAAAAUUGAAUCUAGAUAACAUGAAUGCAUUUACAAGUAUUGACUUGACUGAACUGAAUAUGAAAUCACUUUUAUGUUUUGUAGUUUAGUAAUUUUGUAGAACAGUUUUCUUUGACAUUCAAUUGUUUUCUUUUUUUGACAGAAAAGCCAAAUUUAGUCAUGAUUUGUAAGACAAUAAAAGAGUAAAACAUCCAAGGGGGUGAAGUACUUUAUAUACUUUUGGUGUUCAGAAAUUGCUCUUUUUUUCCAUAGGUUAAUCUUAAAAUUUAGUUUUUUGGCAAAAUAUACUUAUUUUUUCUGCCUACAAUAACAUUAACAUGCCUUUGUAUUGAUGUGAAAGCGGGACGCCUCCAUUUCUUCCCAGAUGUCUGACUGUGACAUCCGAUCUUCCUUAUCCUCACACUAAGACUGCAGGAGGAUUAGAAACAUCAUUUCGUUCAAAGCGGAACUAAAAGUCUGUUUAGUGUUCCUUCAGUGGAGCCACCGUGAAACACAGGAAAUUAAAACAGCCCAGAUAGCUGCGUUAGUUUUCUUCAGUUUUAAUGUUGUUUGUAGACGGGUUUGGUGUAUUUGGCAAAUAUUUGAGUGUUUGCAGUAACUCUGUCCUCACUUUAGUCCCAGAGAGAGUUAAUCAACGAGCAGCUAACUGCUGCUGAAGAAACUUUAACGGACUUUUAUAAAAUCAUCGUCCAGUCCGAGGAAGAGAUGGAUGAUUAUCGCAGACUGCUGUUCUCCCGGAUUCCCCUGAUAAUCUUACACCGUAUAGAUCGCCCACGAAGCUGUGUGUGUAAAGAGGAGGUUCUCAAAGAGUUCAACAACCAGAAGAGGAAUCCCACUUUAGAUAAAAAGGAACCAGAACCUUUUAAAAUAAAAUUGGACUCAGAGGAACCAGAACAUCAACAGUUCAAAGAGGAAGAGAAUCAGCUCUGCUUCAGUCAAGACGAAGAGCAGCUUGUGCUGAAACAGGAGACUGGAGACAUUUUGGUGACUCCUUCUAAUGAGCAAAGAAUCAACAGUGAAACAGAACCAAACCGGAACCAACUCGUCUCUCAUGCUUCUCCUGAAGAUGAGGACCAGGUUGAGGAAGGAAGCAAUUCUGAAGACUCAGGAGAAAAGAGAGACAAAGAGCAGAAGCAAAACAAGAGAUGUCAGAAAAACAUACGGCAAAAAGGAACUAAUGAAGGUCCAAAACAAAAAAAUCGCAAAAAAUCUCACCAAAAAAAAAAAUUAUAUCCUUGUAAAGUUUGUGAUAAAAUCUUUUCCCGAAAAGACUCUUUGACGUGUCACACGAGGAUUCACACAGGUGAGAAGCCUUUCACAUGUAUUAGUUGUGGGAAGAGUUUCACUCAGAAAAGUAAUAUAGCUACUCACAUGAGGUGUCACACAGGUGAGAAACCUUUCCCAUGUAUGACUUGUGGAAAACGUUUUACCCAUAGAAAGAGGUUAUAUAUUCACAUGAGGAGUCACACUGGUGAGAAACCUUUCACAUGUAUUAGUUGUGGGAAGAGUUUUACUAAAAAAUGUAGUUUAACUAUCCACAUGAGGAUUCACACAGGUGAGACACCUUUCCCAUGUAUGACUUGUGGAAAACGUUUUAC